RNAcentral lists this ribosomal RNA (253 nucleotides) under uncultured bacterium. Its description in RNAcentral is "partial 16S ribosomal RNA". It matches the Rfam family "Bacterial small subunit ribosomal RNA", at positions 524 to 776 of the family's 1533-position model. The record is from RNAcentral.
UACGGAGGGUGCAAGCGUUAAUCGGAAUUACUGGGCGUAAAGCGUGCGUAGGUGGUUCGUUAAGUCCGUUGUGAAAGCCCCGAGCUCAACUUGGGAAUUGCAGUGGAUACUGGCGAGCUGGAGUGCGGUAGAGGAAGGUGGAAUUCCCGGUGUAGCGGUGAAAUGCGUAGAGAUCGGCAGGAACACCCAGGGGGAAACCAGCCGACUGGGCAUUUGCUGACGCUGAGGUGCGAGAGCGUGGGGAGCGAACCGG